This 509-nucleotide ribosomal RNA is filed under the name Salmonella enterica subsp. enterica. RNAcentral's name for it is "partial 23S ribosomal RNA". It matches the Rfam family "Bacterial large subunit ribosomal RNA", at positions 1 to 540 of the family's 2925-position model. The record is from RNAcentral. Lineage: Bacteria; Pseudomonadati; Pseudomonadota; Gammaproteobacteria; Enterobacterales; Enterobacteriaceae.
GGGUUGUGAGGUUAAGCGACUAAGCGUACACGGUGGAUGCCCUGGCAGUCAGAGGCGAUGAAGGACGUGCUAAUCUGCGAUAAGCGCCGGUAAGGUGAUAUGAACCGUUAUAACCGGCGAUUUCCGAAUGGGGAAACCCAGUGUGAUUCGUCACACUAUCAUUAACUGAAUCCAUAGGUUAAUGAGGCGAACCGGGGGAACUGAAACAUCUAAGUACCCCGAGGAAAAGAAAUCAACCGAGAUUCCCCCAGUAGCGGCGAGCGAACGGGGAGGAGCCCAGAGCCUGAAUCAGCAUGUGUGUUAGUGGAAGCGUCUGGAAAGGCGCGCGAUACAGGGUGACAGCCCCGUACACAAAAGCGCAUGUGCUGUGAGCUCGAUGAGUAGGGCGGGACACGUGGUAUCCUGUCUGAAUAUGGGGGGACCAUCCUCCAAGGCUAAAUACUCCUGACUGACCGAUAGUGAACCAGUACCGUGAGGGAAAGGCGAAAAGAACCCCGGCGAGGGGAGUG